Long non-coding RNA from Ictalurus punctatus (channel catfish), 515 nucleotides. The record is from Ensembl. Lineage: Eukaryota; Metazoa; Chordata; Actinopteri; Siluriformes; Ictaluridae.
AUUAGUGGCUUUAAUAAGGUUAAAUGUAGAUUUAAUUCAUAUAGUUAAGACUAUGCAAUGUUUUAUUUUUACACCUCCAGUGAAACACUGGGGUCUAUAUUCAAGCCAUCCCUGUGCUCUCCUAGUCUACAAAGUAGCCACUGAAGUAGCGUCUGGCAGGUUCACGCUCAAACCACCCUCAUGCACUGGUAUUCAUCAAAUUCCAUUGAAAUCAGUCUCGUGGCCCAAGACAUCCUCUGAGGAAUUUACUGCAUGUUUCUUUUACAAGUGCUUUCAUCUUACCUGCAGACAAGAAGCAAAUCCUCCCAAUCCCUGCCCUUCUGUAAAAUCUUUCUUCCCUGGCAAAUUUUCCCAUAAUAUAAUCAGUGGAUGUAAUUUGUUGGUUUGUAAUGUUAAGAGAGACUGUAAUGAGUUAGCAAACGUGGAACACUUUACAGAUAAGAAACUUUUCCCUUUGGGACAUUUGUUUUUGUUCUUAGUUUAGUAUCUUUACGGAACUGUGAAUGAUCUUUAAG